AUAAGUUAAGUAAGGGCGUAUGGCGGAUGCCUAGGCUCUCAGAGACGAUGAAGGACGUGAUAAGCUGCGAAAAGUUACGGGGAGAAGCACAUAUUUUAUGAUCCGUAAAUAUCCGAAUGGGGCAACCCGGCAUGCUGAAGGCAUGUCACCUAGCAAUAGGGGUAAACCCGGUGAACUGAAACAUCUAAGUAACCGGAGGAAGAGAAAACAAAAGUGAUUCCGUUAGUAGUGGCGAGCGAACGCGGAUUAGCCCAAACCAGUGUUGUUACGGCAAUACUGGGGUUGUAGGACCACGAUAUUCGAAGCUAAGUGAAUUAGAACUGUUUGGAAAGACAGACCAUAGAGGGUGAUAGUCCCGUAUAAGUAAGCGAAGAUUAGAUAGUGGUAUCCUGAGUAGUGCGGGACACGAGUAAUCCUGUAUGAAUCCACCGGGACCAUCCGGUAAGGCUAAAUACUCCUGAGAGACCGAUAGUGAACUAGUACCGUGAGGGAAAGGUGAAAAGAACCCUAAGUAAGGGAGUGAAAGAGAUCCUGAAACCGUACGCCUACAAGCGGUCGGAGCACAUUUACUGUGUGACGGCGUGCCUUUUGCAUAAUGAGCCUACGAGUUACUGUUUCUAGCAAGGUUAAAUGUUUAAGACAUGGAGCCGUAGCGAAAGCGAGUCUGAAUAGGGCGUAUAGUUAGUAGUAGUAGACGCGAAACCGAGUGAUCUACCCAUGGGCAGGUUGAAGCUGUGGUAACACACAGUGGAGGACCGAACCAGUUGACGUUGAAAAGUCUUUGGAUGACCUGUGGGUAGGGGUGAAAGGCCAAUCAAACUCGGAAAUAGCUCGUACUCCCCGAAAUGCAUUUAGGUGCAGCGUUGAGCGAAAGUUUUAUAGAGGUAGAGCUACUGAUUGGAUGCGGGGGCUUCACCGCCUACCAAUUCCUGACAAACUCCGAAUGCUAUAAAAUGUUACUCAGCAGUGAGGGCAUGGGUGCUAAGGUCCAUGUCCGAGAGGGAAAGAACCCAGACCAUCAGCUAAGGUCCCCAAAUAUAUGUUAAGUUGAAUAAACGAGGUGAAACUGCUUAGACAGCUAGGAUGUUGGCUUGGAAGCAGCCAUUCAUUUAAAGAGUGCGUAACAGCUCACUAGUCGAGCGGUUUUGCAUGGAUAAUAAUCGGGCAUAAACAUAUUACCGAAGCUAUGGAUUUGUAUUAUAUACAAGUGGUAGGGGAGCAUUGUAACCUGCGUAGAAGGUGUGCUGUAAGGCAUGCUGGAGUGGUUACAAAAGAAAAUGUAGGCAUAAGUAACGAUAAAGGGGGCGAGAAACCCCCUCACCGAAAGACUAAGGUUUCCUCAGCGAUGCUAAUCAGCUGAGGGUUAGUCGGGUCCUAAGGCGAAUCCGAAGGGAGUAGUCGAUGGAUAACAGGUUAAUAUUCCUGUACUUCUUAUAAUUGCGAUGGGGUGACGGAGUAUUGAAAGCACCGCGAACUGACGGAAUAGUUCGUUAAAGUAUGUAGCUAUAGAACCAGAUUAAGAGUUAGGUUUUGGCAAAGUACGAUAGUACCACAAAGCUUCGGCAGCGUGGAUAGUGUGCCUAAAAGCUUCCAAGAAAAACCUCUAAGCUUCAGAUUAUAAGAACCCGUACCGUAAACCGACACAGGUAGUUGGGAUGAGAAUUCUAAGGUGCUCGAGAGAUUCAUGGCUAAGGAACUAGGCAAAAUAGACCCGUAACUUCGGGAGAAGGGUCGCCACGCUUUACGGCGUGGCCGCAGUGAAAAGGUCCAGGCGACUGUUUAUCAAAAACACAGGGCUUUGCUAAAUUGAAAGAUGAUGUAUAAGGCCUGACACCUGCCCGGUGCUGGAAGGUUAAGUGGAGGGUUUAGCUUCGGCGAAGAUCUGAAAUGAAGCCCCAGUAAACGGCGGCCGUAACUAUAACGGUCCUAAGGUAGCGAAAUUCCUUGUCGGGUAAGUUCCGACCU
This 1965-nucleotide ribosomal RNA is filed under the name marine metagenome. Its description in RNAcentral is "bacterial LSU rRNA". It matches the Rfam family "Bacterial large subunit ribosomal RNA", at positions 1 to 1989 of the family's 2925-position model. The record is from RNAcentral.